RNAcentral lists this ribosomal RNA (459 nucleotides) under uncultured bacterium. Its description in RNAcentral is "partial 16S ribosomal RNA". It matches the Rfam family "Bacterial small subunit ribosomal RNA", at positions 338 to 795 of the family's 1533-position model. The record is from RNAcentral.
CCUACGUGUGGCAGCAGUGAGGAAUAUUGGUCAAUGGGAGAGAUCCUGAACCAGCCAAGCCGCGUGAGGGAAGACGGCCCUAUGGGUUGUAACCCUCUUUUGGCGGAGAACAAAACCCGGGACGUGUCCCGAACUGCGUGUAUCCAAAGAAGAAGCAUCGGCUAACUCCGUGCCAGCAGCCGCGGUAAUACGGGGGAUGCGAGCGUGAUCCGGAUUUGUUGGGGUUAAAGGGUGCGUAGGCGGUCCGUUAAGUCAGCGGUAAAAUUGCGGGGCUCAACCCCGUUGAGCCGUUGAAACUGGGAGACUUGAGUUGGCGAGAAGUACGCGGAAUGCGGGGUGUAGCGGUGAAAUGCAUAGAUAGCGCGAAGAACGCCGAUUGCGAAGGCAGCGUACUGGCGCCAGACUGACGCUGAGGCACGAAAGCGUGGGGAUCGAACAGGAUUAGAUACCCGGGUAGUC